Heterocephalus glaber (naked mole-rat) is the source of this 1590-nucleotide long non-coding RNA. The record is from Ensembl. Lineage: Eukaryota; Metazoa; Chordata; Mammalia; Rodentia; Bathyergidae.
CUGGAGUCACUGGGCACCACAGUCCAGCGACGGCUGCCUAACAGUCACUUGGCUGGAGAGAGUCAGCUGCGAUCAUGCUGUGCCGCUUUCCCAGGCCUCGAGGCCGCAGCAACAGGACCCUGUGCAGGGAAAGGACUUGGGCGUGAGUGAGAGGAUGGGUGGCUAAGUCCUCAUGCUUCAGGCCACUCACCAGGAACUGCCUGGCCAUCAGGGGCAGCACAGGGCGGGUCUCACCAGACCCAGAGACCUGGGGACCUGAGAUGAGCGGGAGCCCAGGGCAGAUCUCCCUGGACCUGGACCCCAGACACUUGGGGCCACCGAGUCCAGGACAGGUCCAGUCAGGCCCGGCCACCGCUACUGGGGCCCAACGGGAGGAGAGCCGGCAGAGGACUGCAUGGUAAGGAUGGUGCUGGCAGGCAUGCAGCACCCCCUGAGGGAGCCCCCAGAAUGGGAUGUCCUGGACAGCUGCCCCAUCCAUGCAGACUCCCUCCUGGACCCCUCUGGGGCCUGCAUUCCCACCCUGCAGGAGGGGAUGGUGCCAAGGUGAGCUCUGUGGUUGGCACCCAGGGGCCCUUGGCCACUGUGGCCCCAAGUCUUUGGAAGGUAUGAACCCUGCCUCAGCCUGCUCGCAACUCUGAGCAACAGGGCGCUGAGAAAAUCGGGCUCUCCGCAUCACUGCGGGGCAGAGCUGUGGUCUCCAGGGCAGUGCUGACCCGAGCCUGCCGGAUUCCCUUCCAUCCCUGGCCGGCUGUGCUUUGCCCCACUGAGCCCUGCACAGGGGAAGGCUGUCCGUUGCCUGUAAAGGAGACCACAGAGUGACUCGGCAGGCCUCUGGUCUUCCCAGAGCAGGAGUCUGUGGGGAUGUGAAUGGUCCAGGCCCACUGACCUCAGGGAAGAGCAGGUGGGGUCCCCAUUCCAUGGAUGUAUGUGAAGACACACUGUGUGCAGACCUUUCCCAGGGCUCGGCUGUGAUUGCCAGUAGCCAGAGCAGAUGCAACCCCUGCCCUCUGGGGCUUCAGCGCUGUUUGAGGUCCUCAGUCACCCUGGACAGCUGAGCAAGCAUUCCUCGCACUGCAGUAGAUGGCACUUUCCCGGCCUCCCUAGAUGUGGAUCCACAGCAGUGCAAGAGGAGCCCAGGAGCGGCAUAGACUCCGGGCAGCACAGCGCUGCAGAGCUGAAGCCUGAGGAGAGUCCUCCUUUUUUGUCCUCCACUUCUUGGUGCAGCUACACUCCCAGGAGAAUCCACCAGCUGAACUCCUGGCCCAGCUGGAGCAAGCAGAGCCCACUGAGGCACAGCCCAUGGGCGAGGAGGACGGGGUGUAGGCCUGUGGGACCAGCUCCACCCCCAGCUGAAGUCCCAUGUGCGGAGCCCGAGCCAGCUCCACCUGCAGCUUCCUGCCCAGGGCUGGGACCACAGCCAGAGUCCAUGGCAGCCGCUUCACCUGCUGCAGUGCUGGGGCACCCGGUGGUUGCACGGCUGUCGGUGUCACCUCCUGAGCUCCGCCUGGGGCCAGCUCCUGGCCCCCUCCCACUGUUCCCCUCACUUAUGCUGGCUCUUGUUUUGGUAUUUACAAUUGCCCUUAUUUCUUG